RNAcentral lists this ribosomal RNA (636 nucleotides) under uncultured archaeon. RNAcentral describes it as "bacterial SSU rRNA". It matches the Rfam family "Archaeal small subunit ribosomal RNA", at positions 96 to 735 of the family's 1478-position model. The record is from RNAcentral.
ACACGUAGUCAACAUAACCAGAGGACGUGGAUAAACUCGGGAAACUGAGGCUAAACCGCGAUAGACCAAGAUGCCUGGAAUGGUUUUUGAUCAAAAUCUAUAUGGCCUUUGGACUGGACUGCGACCGAUCAGGCUGUUGGUGAGGUAAUGGCCCACCAAACCUGUAACCGGUACGGGCUCUGAGAGGAGGAGCCCGGAGAUGGGUACUGAGAAAAGGACCCAGGCCCUAUGGGGCGCAGCAGGCGCGAAACCUCUGCAAUAGGCGAAAGCCUGACAGGGUUACUCUGAGUGACUUUCGCUAAGAAAGUCUUUUGACACCUCUAAAAAUGGUGUAGAAUAAGGGGUGGGCAAGUCUGGUGUCAGCCGCCGCGGUAAUACCAGCACCCCGAGUUGUCGGGACGAUUAUUGGGCCUAAAGCAUCCGUAGCCGGUUUUACAAGUCCUCCGUUAAAUCCAACUACUUAACAGAUGGGCCGCGGAGGAUACUAUAAGACUAGGAGGCAGGAGAGGCAAGCGGUACUCAGUGGGUAGGGGUAAAAUCCGUUGAUCCGUUGAAGACCACCAGUGGCGAAGGCGGCUUGCCAGAAUGCGCUCGACGGUGAGGGAUGAAAGCUGGGGGAGCAAACCGGAUUAGAUA